This 104-nucleotide ribosomal RNA is filed under the name Amphilophus citrinellus (Midas cichlid). The record is from RNAcentral. Lineage: Eukaryota; Metazoa; Chordata; Actinopteri; Cichliformes; Cichlidae.
GUUUAGAGUAAUUUGCUUAAGGAUGCCUGAUAUCGGAUAUUAAGCAGGGUCAGGCCUGGUUAGUACAUGGAGAGACUGCCUGGGAAUACCAGGUGCUGUAAGCU